Molecule: non-coding RNA, 31 nt
Filed under: Mus musculus (house mouse)
Lineage: Eukaryota; Metazoa; Chordata; Mammalia; Rodentia; Muridae
Source: RNAcentral
UAUGAGAAAUCAAAUAAUGUAGCUGGCUAGU